ACCUAGGUGGCUGAGUUGGUUAAGCAUCUGACUUCAAAUCAGGUCAUGAUCUCAUUGGUCAUGGGUUUGAGCCCCAUAUUGGGCU
RNAcentral lists this transfer RNA (85 nucleotides) under Felis catus (domestic cat). It matches the Rfam family "tRNA". Rfam says of the family: Transfer RNA (tRNA) molecules are approximately 80 nucleotides in length. Lineage: Eukaryota; Metazoa; Chordata; Mammalia; Carnivora; Felidae. The record is from Rfam by way of RNAcentral.